UUAGAGUGUAGAGGCGGCAGGGUAGCCUAGUGGUUAGAGUGUAGAGGCGGCAGGGUAGCCUAGUGGUUAGAGUGUAGAGGCGGCAGGGUAGCCUAGUGGUUAGAGUGUAGAGGCGGCAGGGCAGCCUAGUGGUUAGAGUGUAGAGGAGGCAGGUAGCCUAGUGGUUAGAGUGUAGAGGAGGCAGGUAGCCUAGUGGUUAGAGUGUAGAGGAGGCAGGUAGCCUAUUCAAAUCCCCGAGCUGACAAGGUACAAAUCUUGUCAGACAAAUCUGUCGUUCUGCCCCUGAACAGGCAGUUAACCCACUGUUCCUAGGCCGUCAUUGAAAAUAAGAAUUUGUUCUUAACUGACUUGCCAAGUUAAAU
Molecule: long non-coding RNA, 362 nt
Organism: Oncorhynchus tshawytscha (Chinook salmon)
Lineage: Eukaryota; Metazoa; Chordata; Actinopteri; Salmoniformes; Salmonidae
Source: Ensembl